GCUCCGGUAGCUCAGUGGUAUAGCGCAUGCUUUGCAUGCAUGAGGCCCCGGGAUCGGUCCCCGGCAUCU
This 69-nucleotide transfer RNA is filed under the name Alosa alosa (allis shad). Its description in RNAcentral is "tRNA-Ala". The stretch from base 7 to 65 matches the Rfam family "tRNA", at positions 7 to 64 of the family's 71-position model. Rfam says of the family: Transfer RNA (tRNA) molecules are approximately 80 nucleotides in length. Their secondary structure includes four short double-helical elements and three loops (D, anti-codon, and T loops). Further hydrogen bonds mediate the characteristic L-shaped molecular structure. tRNAs have two regions of fundamental functional importance: the anti-codon, which is responsible for specific mRNA codon recognition, and the 3' end, to which the tRNAs corresponding amino acid is attached (by aminoacyl-tRNA synthetases). tRNAs cope with the degeneracy of the genetic code in two manners: having more than one tRNA (with a specific anti-codon) for a particular amino acid; and 'wobble' base-pairing, i.e. permitting non-standard base-pairing at the 3rd anti-codon position. Lineage: Eukaryota; Metazoa; Chordata; Actinopteri; Clupeiformes; Clupeidae. The record is from RNAcentral.